RNAcentral lists this long non-coding RNA (20490 nucleotides) under Mytilus galloprovincialis (Mediterranean mussel). Lineage: Eukaryota; Metazoa; Mollusca; Bivalvia; Mytilida; Mytilidae. The record is from RNAcentral.
CUCACAAGAAAUUGUAAGAACACUUAUUGACAGUUCUUUAAAGGAGUAUUACUUUGCCAACAAUCCUUUGUCAGACGGUUGGAACCAUUAUUCAACAAAGAUUGCAAGAGAAGCCGCCGGAUAAGUAGUUUCAUUUAAAAUUAUGCCAUAUGGGAAACGAUUUGACCNNNNNNNNNNNNNNNNNNNNNNNNNNNNNNNNNNNNNNNNNNNNNNNNNNNNNNNNNNNNNNNNNNNNNNNNNNNNNNNNNNNNNNNNNNNNNNNNNNNNNNNNNNNNNNNNNNNNNNNNNNNNNNNNNNNNNNNNNNNNNNNNNNNNNNNNNNNNNNNNNNNNNNNNNNNNNNNNNNNNNNNNNNNNNNNNNNNNNNNNNNNNNNNNNNNNNNNNNNNNNNNNNNNNNNNNNNNNNNNNNNNNNNNNNNNNNNNNNNNNNNNNNNNNNNNNNNNNNNNNNNNNNNNNNNNNNNNNNNNNNNNNNNNNNNNNNNNNNNNNNNNNNNNNNNNNNNNNNNNNNNNNNNNNNNNNNNNNNNNNNNNNNNNNNNNNNNNNNNNNNNNNNNNNNNNNNNNNNNNNNNNNNNNNNNNNNNNNNNNNNNNNNNNNNNNNNNNNNNNNNNNNNNNNNNNNNNNNNNNNNNNNNNNNNNNNNNNNNNNNNNNNNNNNNNNNNNNNNNNNNNNNNNNNNNNNNNNNNNNNNNNNNNNNNNNNNNNNNNNNNNNNNNNNNNNNNNNNNNNNNNNNNNNNNNNNNNNNNNNNNNNNNNNNNNNNNNNNNNNNNNNNNNNNNNNNNNNNNNNNNNNNNNNNNNNNNNNNNNNNNNNNNNNNNNNNNNNNNNNNNNNNNNNNNNNNNNNNNNNNNNNNNNNNNNNNNNNNNNNNNNNNNNNNNNNNNNNNNNNNNNNNNNNNNNNNNNNNNNNNNNNNNNNNNNNNNNNNNNNNNNNNNNNNNNNNNNNNNNNNNNNNNNNNNNNNNNNNNNNNNNNNNNNNNNNNNNNNNNNNNNNNNNNNNNNNNNNNNNNNNNNNNNNNNNNNNNNNNNNNNNNNNNNNNNNNNNNNNNNNNNNNNNNNNNNNNNNNNNNNNNNNNNNNNNNNNNNNNNNNNNNNNNNNNNNNNNNNNNNNNNNNNNNNNNNNNNNNNNNNNNNNNNNNNNNNNNNNNNNNNNNNNNNNNNNNNNNNNNNNAUGCCAGAACGGGUUUGUAGUAGAGGAAACAUAAGAAGAUGUAAAGACUACGGACAGUUUAGGUUCAAAUGGCGAGAAAUAAAACAUUUGACCAAAAUUCAGGCUGGGACUUGUUACUGUAACAUUUUCCUUUGACCUAAGUGGCGAAAAAUUGAAGUUUCAGUCUACUUGUAAUUUCUUGACUUUUGACCUACUGACUUAAAUAUAUAAGACCUCUUACUUCUAAGUGCCACACUAAAGCUAAGUGUUUGGUGAUUACUGAAGGUUAAACAUAUGGUUCAAAAGACCAAAAUUAAAUAUCUGCGCCUAUUCUACUAUUUGGUACUGCAACGUCAGCCUUGAACUUUAAAUGAUACCAACAUCAAAAGGCGGGUGUUUUUCUUAUCAAGGAGCGUUUCCGAAUUUAAUUAUACCAUUCGGUGGUUUCGUGAAAGCGUUUUCGCACCAAGCGUGAGGGGUCAUGGGUUUGAAUCUCGGUUGGAUCAAACCAAAGACUUUAAAAUUUGUCUUUACUACUUCUCUGCGAAGCACACGACAUUAAGGAGUAAGAGCAAAGACUGGUGCACAAUUUGUCCUGGUAUGGUGACAUGUCUUCAUGCGGACUGUUGAAGUACGAAGGCUUUUCUACCUCAGGCAUAGAUUACCUUAGCUGGAUUUGGCAAAACUUUUAGGAAUUUUGGUCCUCAAUGCUCUUCAACUUCGUACUUUAUUUGGCCUUUUAACUUUUUUGGAUUCGAGCGUCACUGAUGAGUCUUUUGUAGACGAAACGCGCGUCGACGUAUAUACAAAAUUUAGUCCUGAUAUCUAUGAUGAGUUUAUUUACCUUGUCAACAAGCAAGUCCUUCUCAGUUUGUCGGUCUCGUAAUUAUUAGAGUAAUAAUUAGUUGCCUUAACAUGUUCUUGUCCUGAAAAUACAUUUAAUUUGACGUUAGACGUUAAACAGUCAUUUACCACAAUCACCAUAUGGCAUUACAAUCAAAUUUGGUAAAAGUGGAACGUAUAAAUUAUAGCUACCGUGAACCACAUAUCUUUUUGUCAAAAUUUUAGUCUAAAUGUAUCAAUAACUGCUUGGACAUUGACCUUUAUCCAGUAAAAAAUUAUUAUUUUUCGUCGCCUUUGGUGCAUGAUGAUGUUAAGUACAAAUUUGCUAAAUGGUGGACAUAAUUUAUAAGUUUGUUAAUUUUCAACAUCUUUAGUGUUUACCUCCUUGGUUUACUAAUAAACAAUUCAAUCGAGUUAUUUCUUUAGUCACUCAUAAUAUAGCUCCCCGUUGUACGUCAGUGCCUCACAUAUACAUGUAAUCACGUGAUUUGAAACCUAAGGUGUACUUGAUUAUACAGGUGGACGUUACAGGAUGGUAAGUUCAUCAUACUUAUGAUGAAGUAAUACAUGCGUGUAAUAUUUACAACUAUAAAUACCAUAAAAUCAAAUUGUAUAUUUUGUAAAUGGUCAAUAAAUGAGCAGAAAUUAUUUGUCAAUGCUUAAUAUGAAUAAUCGACAUGUCAAGUCAUCUUACACGACAAAUUCAUAGAUGGAUAUACGAAGAUGUGGUACGACAUCCAAUGAGACAACUAUCAAAGUAUCAAUUUUUAAAAGUAAACCAAUAUAGGCCGAAGUACGGACUUCAACACGGAGCCUAGCUCCCACCGAACAGCGAGCUAUAAAUGCCAGUGGCGGAUCCAGCCAUUUUUAAAAAAGGGGGGUCCCAACUCAGAUUAAAGGGGUGGGGGGUUCCAACUAUAUACUUCCAUUCAAAUGCAUUGAUCGGCAAAAAAAAGGGGGGUUCCAACCCCUGGACCCCCCUGGCUCCGCCACUGAAUGCCCCCAAAAUGACUAUUUAUCAAAUAGUACAGUAUUGGAAAAUAUCGAGUUUACCACUAGAUUAAUACUUGUAAAGGAAUGCAGUGUCUUUAACGUAAAUAAGCACACCCACCAAAACCAUAAUUAUUCCACAUGUAAUGUUAUCAAAUACAUAGAUAAUGGUUCUACACUAGUAAUUUUUGGGGCUAUUAAUAGCUUGCUGUUCGGUGUCAGCCAAGCCCCCAUGUUGAAGGCCGUAUCUUGACCUUUAAUGGUUUACUUUUAUAAACCUUUACUUGGAUGGAGAUUUGUCUCAUUGGCACUCAUACCAUAUCUUCCUAUAUCUCUAGAUACUCACAGAAAUCACAACAGCAACUGCAUGUAAAAAUGUUGUUCAUCUCUAGUAGAACUAUGGAACGAUUCGUAUAAAGGAUUAUACUUUAAAUAAUAAUUUUCUAAGAUAAUAUAAGAUGCAUUACAUUUGUGACCUAUACACCAAAUACCAAAUGGCAUUUUUUUUAAUUUUGCUUUUCAGCCCUUGUGGUCUAUAAAUGGACAACUGAACAUUUUUUCAGGACCGUAACUAGCCUCUUUUAAUAGUGAGGCAAAAUGUAUUCGCCGAGCGGAGCGAGGCGAAAAAGAAAAAAAAUUGGCGAGGGGUCCGGGAAACUCUGAGAAAAAUAACACAAAAUCGUGCAUUCUGAUCGUUUCUCGCACUCUUUCUGACAUUGAAACGCAAUUAAUUUUUAGCUAUUUUUUCCGACAAUAUUCUGGUCUCAAAGCAAAAACAUACUGGGCUGAUCUCGUAUUUCAUUUCAUGCAGAUUAUACAGCGAAUGGGUGAAAACCCCGAAGUAAACAUAGUUUGACAUCCACUCAACUGGAAACAAAUUGUCUUGUGAAGAAACUGUUAAACUUUUUAGAGCAACUAUAGAUUGGGAAUUUACUAUAUAUGGCAAUAAUAUAUCUGAAAAAUGUAAAAGGGCAACAAGAUAAUAAAAACGAAUGGUCAAAUAUUUACCAGGUUAGGCAGUUUAACAGCAUAUUAUUAAUUAAUUCUACCGAAUUUAGAUAUGGUCCAGUAAUUUGGCACGACAGUAACGAAAAAAGUGUUUUGAAAUUUGAAAAAAAAAAAUAAGAAAGAGCUCUUAUAUUCGUCUAGGAAGAUUAGGAUAGUUUAUACGAAAAACUGCUAGAAAAAAAUCAAAUAUUUCUACUUUAUAAAUAUGAAGAAUAUAGAGCUAUUGCAACAGAAACAUUUGAAAUAAUUCAUUGAAAAUUUCCAAGUUAUUUUCAUGACUUUAAUUGAUAUUUAAAUUCAUAAGUAUAAUUUUAGUUCACAAGAAACAACAGUACUCCCGAGAGUCAGGACUACCAGGUUUGAUUCGAUGAUGCUACACGUCUGGAAUGAGCUGCGUUAUAUAAUAUUGCCGCACAAAAACAUCUUUUGACCAAUUAAAAAAAUAGUACAUAAAUGGAAUCCAAAUAACAGCUCAUGCCAGUUCAGUGCAUGUAUAUAGCAGAGAUGGGUCGAUACUAUUCAAGUAAUUAUUAAUUACAAUUACUUUUCAUUUGUACCAUUAAUUAAUUAAUAUUACAUCAUUUACGAAAGUAUCUGAUUAAUUAAUGAUUACAUUGGCAAAUAAUCAUGAUUACAUCUGAUUCAAUGAAUUAAAAACACAAAAUUUGAUGAUGUGAAUAUAAACGUUCAAUAAUAUAGCAUUUUGAGAAGUAUUUAUUUGGUUCAAUUAUAAAAUGAUACUUCAAAUUAACUCGUCUAUUUAAAUAAACACAAUUUUACACAUAUAUAUAAUUACACUUUAUCCCAAUAUCUCUGAAUUUUUAAUUAAAUUUAAUUAAGAAUAUCUAAUCAAGAGUUUUUUGUUGUCUUCUGACUCUUUCAUAAUUUAUAGUAUUCCAAGUGCAGUUAUGGAGUUUAAAUAUGGAUAAAUAAAUACCAGUUAAAACUAUGUUUAAUUUUAAUAGAAAUGUUUAAUCAAAUUGUAAACAAUAUGUACAGUACCAAAAAUCAUUGCAUUUACAUGUCAGUCAAAUACAAAAAAAAUUAAAACAAAUAUUUGUCAACUUUUAAUUUAGUUGUGCUUAUAAUAAAUUUUCAUGUUAUUAUCUUUUAUAUAUAUAUCCUACAGCUAUACUGAAUUGGUAAUUGCAAUAAAACAAACCUUAAUUAGUCUCCUACCUGUCAUUCAAAGUUGACAAAAAUCAAAAAUUAACAAAUGAUAUAAUUCAGGGUUAAAGAAAAUAUUACUGAAUAUAAACAGUUAUUAUCAAUUUAAUAUGAAGAUCAUUAUAAAACGAUGAAUAUACAUGUAUGUACAAGAUCUUUUACCAAGAUAAAAGGUAAAUAAUUGUAUUAUAUGUCUCUGCUUAGGCUAAUGGUGACUUUUCAAUACUGUAACAGUUUAUUUUUUUUACUGAAGUAGACAUGCUAAAAGUAACCAAACCAUUUUAGUAUGUUUAAAAUUAAUCAAAUAUGAAUAACAAAGAGGUUCAUUUAAUGACCAAAAACACAAUUGUAGAGUUUUUUCAUUGUAAUCAGAAUGUAAUUAAAAAGUAAUCAUGAUUACAGGGUAUUUUGAAAGUAAUUAUUAAUUAAAUACAUGUAAUCAGAUUUUUGGCUGAAAUGAUUACACUGAUUACUUGAAAAAUUGUAAUCAAUUACAGCUGAUUAACGAUUACAAUUACAAUUACCCCAAGUCUGGUAUAUAGUGCUUUUGUUCUGUGCACUUUUAUUUUCUGUUUUGUUUGACUACUUGCUUUGUUGAGCUUUUUUUGUUACUAUUAUCUGAUGUGAUUGAUAUUGUUACUCGUGCAAUGUUUUAUGUUAUACUUUAUUUUGCAUACAAAUUUCAAAAACUUUUAACUUUUAUAUUUCUUCUAAAACAAACAUUUACAAAAUGCUGAUACAUAUUAUCGAGUGCAUACAUUGUAAAUUGUUUAUUUUAAACUUUUAUGAUUUAGAUAUACGUUUUACUAUUUUAUAAAUCAAAUAUGAGAACUUGAGUCAAAUCGGUGAACAUGAAUUUGACAGCUAAUGUCCCUUUAAUAAAUUAUGUUUGGUGAUUUAUAACAUUAAAUUUUGAAUUGAUAGCUCCAUUUUAGUACUUUGCAUAAUUAUUUAAUAAUAUAUAUAGGAACAAUACACAUACAAGAAAGUGUUGGAGUACGUUGUUGACUGCAAUAUUUUCGUAUCAAUGAUUUUUUAUUUUUUAUAUAUAAACCUUUAAAAAAUCGCAAAGAGCCAACAAAUUAUCAAUAUCAAAUCAUGGUCUUUAGAAAUAUAAAAGUGAGAAGAUGUGGUAUGAUUGUCAAUGGGACAGCAGUUACUUUCCACCAGAGUCCAAAUGACGUAAGUGUAAAUAAUUAUAGGGCAUCGAAUGUGCGGUCUUCUACAACUAGCAAAACCCAUAUAAAAUGAUAAUCUAUAAAAUAUCCAAAAUGAAAUCAAAAAUUACAGAAGCCAACCAACAAAUUGUCAAUUAUCACUAAACUGCAGAUUCUUGUCUUGGAACAUACACAUACAGGUUCACAUAUUUUAUAAUGUGGCAGGAGUUUUAUUUAUUUGUUCGGAGUUUAGUAUGACGUCCAUUAUCACUGAACUAGUAUACAUAUUUGUUUAGGGGCCAGCUGAAGGACACCUCCGGGUGCGGGAGUUUCUCACUACAUUGAAGACCCAUUGGUGGCCUUCGGCUGUUGUCUGCUCUAUGAUCGGGUUGUUGUCUCUUUGACACAUUCCCAAUUUCCAUUCUAAAUUUUAUUAUUUAUUUGUGAGCGCUCAACACUCCCUCUAAACUGGGACAGUGGCGUUAUACAGCGCAACAUAUCAACUGUAAAAAAAUAUUUGGAAAUUGCUUAACUCAACAAAUUGGUACGAAGAACAAAGAACAAAACUAAACAAAGAUAUAAAAAAGAGAUGUGGUAUGAUUGUCAAUGAGAUAACUCUCCACAAGAGACCAAAUGACAAAGAAAUUGACAGCUAUAUAGGUCACCGUACGGCCUUCAACAAUGAGCAAGGCCCAUACCGCAUUAUCAGCUAUAAAAGGCUCUUAAAUCACAAAUGCAAACGAGAAAUCUAACGGACAAAUUAAUACACAUACAAAUGAAAUGAACGAAAACCAAAUGUUUAAGACAGUAACAAACGACAACCACUGAAUUACAGGCUCCUGAAUUGGGACAGGCACAUACACAUACAUACAGAAUGUGGCCGGGUUAAACAUGUUAGCGGGAUCCCAUCCCCUAACAUGGGACAGUGGUGUGUCAGUACAACAUAAGAGCGAACUAUAAAAAUCAGUUGAAAAAAAUCUUAACUCAUCAGAUGGAUACAAAUAGAAAUACAUAGAACAAAAACACAGCCUGUGGACGUGGCCGUGUACUUGCUAACCCAACAACAAAAAGACACUAAGUACUGAUCUGAGAGUAGUCGCAGUUACUGACAGCUAGUAACAACUAAUAAUUAUUAAAAAAACAAGAGUGCUCGCGCUGAAAUGUCUCACCUUCUUUACAAACCGUUGAUAUUAUGUUGAUAGUACGGGGCGCCGAAUGGGACUCUUGUGGUUUUGUACUCGAAAUUCAAUUUUGUACGGACAAAAGUGAGUUUUGUUCAACAAAAAUGAGUUCAGUUUAACAAAUUUGUAGCAUACUACAAAUUUAAAUUUUGUCAUACAAAAUUAUCUUUCAGUGGACAAAAGUUAGCUUUGUCAUGACAAAAUUCAUUUUUGUAACACAGACUUUACUUUUGAUUACCUAAUUUGAAAAUUGGGCGACAAAAGUCAAUUUUGUAUGCAAAUUAGUUUAGUUUGGAUUCUGUGAACUAACUUGCAUACAAAACUGAGAUUUUGUCACAAAAUUCAAUUUUUUGUUUAUUUUUGUGUAGACAAAAUUGAGUUUUGUUAAACAACAGAGAUAAUUUAACACAAAAGUCAAUUUGUCUACACAAAAAUAAACACAAAAUUCAUUUUUGUCAUGACAAAGUUCAAUUUUGUGUUUAUUUUUGUGUAGACAAAAUUGAGUUUUGUUAAACAGAAGUGAAAAUUUAACACAAAAGUGAAUUUGUUACAAAAGUCAAUUUAGUGUCACUAGAGUCAAUUUUGUAUGCAAAUAAGUUUAUAUGACAAAAAUGAAUUUUGUCUACAAAAAUGAAUUUGUCUUGACAAAAAUGAAUUUUGUCAUCACAAAAUUGAAGUUCUCAUAAAACAAGUCUGUAUCACAUAGUUUUGUAAGACAAGAAAUGAUUUUGUUAUGACAGAAUUGAAUUUUGUACAAAGCCACAAGAGUCCCAUUCGGCGCCCCGACAGUGCUAAAUAUAAAGCUUUACUACAACUAUCACAUAAACCAUGAUCCAAGAAAAUGAAGUUACGGUCAGAUUAACCAAACCAGAAAUACAUUUACACCUUAUAAUAUUUCAAUAUACUUAAUAUAGCUUACCUAUUGCUUAUAGUUUCUAAGAUACAGACUCAACCAAGAAAACUAUAUAUUGACCAAUGAACUAUGAAAAUGAGUUCAAGGUCAGAUGAACAAUGCCAGGCAAACAUGUACACGGCCUUACAAUCAAUCUUUAUGCAUUAAAUAUAGUUGACCUAUUGCUUAUAGUAUCUAAGAAACAAACUUAACCAUUAAAUCUUCACAUUGACCAAUGAAACACCAAAAUGAAGUCUUAACUUUUUUUCAAGUAGUCACUGAACCAUAAAAAAUGUGAGAGACGGAAACUUCGUAACAUAAGGCAUUUAUAUACAAAGUGUACGAAGUAUCCAGGUCUUCCACCUUCUAAAAUAUAAAGCUUUUAAAAAGUAGUUUACGCCGUCGCCGCCGCCGCUGGAUCACUAUCCCUAUGUCGAGCUUUCUUCGACAAAAGUCGCAGGCUCGACAAAAAUCAUGCAUCUAAGACUAAAUCACUGCGGCAGUCAGUUCACAUCCAACAUCCAAUUGAUUUAUUGUAAAGACGUUAUGGGUCAUUAUAAAAAAGUGCAAAUUUCGACGAGGUAAUAUUUUGAAAAAUGAUGUCAUUGUUUAAAAAAUUUAAACGUGUCCCUGUGUUCUAUAGUAUGGUAGCAACGAUAUUCAUCAUUCAGAAAUGUUCAAUGGGGAAAAUGAAGAGUUCCUUCAAUUUUAACAUUUUUAGAUCAUCAUUUGAUAGAAUCGUGGCAAUGGUGUUACCAAUUCAAAACAUACACUUAGGUACUAAAUAUUAUUGUUAAACAUCAAACAACUGUUCCAGUUUGUUGUUUAGGUUUAAAUUACGACUUAUUGACAUUAUUAGCUGUGCAUUCUAUUCAAACAUAAAUUUCAGAAUACAUUGACGAAAACAAAAUUGGCUGUCCUAAUUAUGGCCGUUAUAAUACUAAAAAUACACUUAAACUGAAUAUAUGUAAAAUGUAUAAGAUUAAAUGAUAAGAAUAUUUCUAAUCCUUCGUAUACGACCUAAAGUACUUUAUGAAUAAAAUUAAAAACAUGUUGCAUUUUUAUAUAGUAACACCACUGACCCUCCAGUAACACCAAUGACACAAAAGUAUCACCAUUGACAUCACAUUUCAAAUUUUACUUUUAUUAAGUACUGAACACAAAGCCAAGAACACCGAGCAAAAGAAAAAGAUAAAAAAAAAUUCUUAGGCUACAAAAUCUCAAAAUAAAUAACAUAAGAUCAAUAACUUAAAAUGUCAAUAGUGUUAUUGGUGUUACCAGCAUACAUCAGUUUGUGAAAACUUUGUACACGUAAUACAUGAUAUUGUUAAAACAUUGUUAAAUAAGUAUUGUUUUCAUAAAUAAUAUGAUGUUUCGCUUAUUAAACAUUAAAGAUAUGAUAUAUUCAGUGGUGUUACUAAUCUGGUCAAUGGUGUUAUUUUAUCAAAAUGGUCUCACCAUUGACAGUAACACCAAUGAUUUAAGGUGCAUUUUAAGAUUUAGUUACGAAAUAAGUGCUCCAUUCCUCUAUUCUAUAUGUUGUUACUGGUGCAUGUUUCUAUACUCAAUAGAUUUCAUAAUUCAAAGUUCAGGAAAUAUUUUCAAGAAAUGAUUUUUAUAAGGGUACCCCAUGGACACUAUUUUCAUUUAUGAUAUAGCUUUUACUUACUUUUAAGAUAUUUUCACUAAAUUUUCAACAUAAAUGUUUGUUUUUUCUGUGUAUAACAUGCUCAUAGGUAACUUUGCUAAGGGAGAAACUAUUGCAAAUGCUGAAAUUUUGAGAAAGAUAUCUCUUACCCUACCAAUUUGUCUUUUGGUUACACCAUGUGUGCCCAGUGUACAAAAAUAAAGGCGAUAAAGAUAUCAUGUCUUAUUAUCGACCAAUUACUCUACUAUCAUCUGUGUCCAAGAUCCUUGAAAAAAUCAUCUACAAGGCUAUUUUUGAGACUUACUCAUCAGUGAAAAUUCGGGCUUUAAGAAAAACGAUUCAACAGUGAAUCAACUAAUUACUAUUACACAUAAAAUUUACAAGUCAUUAGAUAACGGUAAAGAUGUAUGUACAAUCUUUUUAGAUGUUUCAAAGACCUUUGAUAAGGUUUGGCACAAAGGCCUGCUUUUCAAACUUAAACAAUUUGGCAUAUGUGGUUCUUUUUUGUCUCUUGUAGAGAAUUACCUCUCAGGUCGUACUCAAAGAGUCGUUAUUAAUGGUCAGACAUCAUCGAGUCAAAACACCUAUGCUGGUGUACCCCAGGGCUCUAUACUCGGUUCUCUGCUUUUUCUUAUACAUGUUAAUGAUAUUAAAGAUGAAAUUUCCAGCAAUAUCAAACUGUUUGCUGAUGAUACUUCCCUUGUUAAACAAAUUCAUAACAUCUCUGAUUGUUUUCAAACUCUGAACAGUGACCUCGUCACGUCGAACACAUGGGCCUAGCAAUGGUGUGUAACAUUCAAUGCAGAAAAAACUGAGUAUCUUAUUAUUUCUAAGAAGAAGCAAAUACCACAUUACCCUCCAUUGAUCUUAAAUAAUGUAAAUAUAAAGAGAGUUACAUACCAUAAACAUUUAGGUCUUAUCUUGAAUGAUAAACUUUCUUGGACCGAUCAUAUUGCUGAUAUUUGUAAGAAAUGUCAUAUUAAACUGAACACUAUCUUGAGGAUGCGACAUAUAUUACCUAGAUUAUGCAUUGAAAAUUUAUAUAAAACAUGUGUUCGUUCAUUGCUUGAUUAUGCAGAUGUCAUCUACGAUAGCUGCUCUAGCGCCGAUUCUGCAAACAUUGAACAUGUACAGAGACGUGCCUGCAUUAUAUCUACUGGUGCAAUCAGGGUCACAAAACCUGUCACUUUAUUGAAAGAGGUUGGUCUUGAGCUUCUUAAAACACGCCGUCAAGUUCAUAGACUUACAUACUUGUACAAAAUUAAUAAUCAUCUUGUCCCAGAUUAUCUCUAUAAUUUUCAUCCAUUGUUCCAUCAUAAUACUGAAAACUAUAACUUAAGACGACAUGCUAACUUGAUACCCAUCAGGUCAAGAACAGUAGCAUACUAUAAUUCUUUUCUUCCAGCUACGAUUAGAGAUUGGAAUAUUUGUCAGAACUAAUUACAGCAACAUCUUUGGCGAGUUUCAAAAGGUUGUAAAAGAAGAAUCUCAAUUUGUGCAGUAAAAAAUAUAUUCACGAGGAAAUGGUUAUGAGAAAAAGAUUCAUACUAGAUUACGCUUAGGGCUUAGUGCUCUUAAUGACCACUUGUAUAAAUAUAAUCUUACAUUAAAUAGGUUUUGCGAUUUCUGCCCAUUGCGAUUUCUGCCCAGGUAACCGUAUUGAAAGCACUCAAGCACUAUUUAAUUCAUUGCGCCCGCUACACGAACUAUCGGAUUACUCUUCUACUUGGAAUUAAGAAUCUGCUUUGUCCAGAGAUAUAAAUAUGGCAAGUUGCCGGAUCUAUGUCCCAACUAUCUGAGCAAAAUAUUAAUAGAAGGUAGUGAUGAUUUGUCUGAUGAUACUAAUUUAGAGUUGUUUGAGUGUGUGUUUCGAUUUAUUAUCGAACAGAUUUUCUCGAUAGCUAAAUAACUUAUUUGUUCUUUAACUUUUUUUUCUUGUAAUAAAACAUAUGAGGUUUGAAACACAUAUUUCUUUUGACCUGAUUGUGCUCAAAAUUGUCUUUCCAUAAUCACUAUUCUAUAUUACUGAAUCAUAUAUGUGUGUUAAGUCGUGUGCAUGUGAGUAAGAAUGAGCGAGUGAUGGGUUUGUAGUCAAAUUAUAUUUGUAUAUCUUGUCCUGUACAUAUUGUCUUGUCUUUAACAUGUUUGUAUUCAAAACUUUGAUAAUUGUGAAUCUGUAUAUAUCUAUGUUGAGGAGACCCACACAUAGCCGCUGGCUGUUGGCAAUCCUCUUUAAAUAAAUAAAGAAUUAAAUUACACCAUUAACAUAAAAAAUGAGACAUUUCCUUUUGGUGAAAUUUUUUAUCAUAAAACCAACAUGCACCUCCCAAAAUCAUUAAAAAAUGUUUGUAUGUAUCAAAAUGCAAUAAAAACUUAAAGUGACAAAUCCUAAUAACAAAUGAUAUGAAUAAUAGUCCUUUUUCAGGUCUGAAAGGAUUUAUAGUAAAAAAAAUAACAGUUUAUUCUGGCUAUAUCCAAGGGUUUAAGAAAACAUUAAGGAUGUUUUUAUAACAUUUCAUACUGUAAACUGCAUGUGUAUAGUGUAUCACAAAACAUUCAUAUCUAACAUAUGCAAGUGUUUUUUUGAUACAUUUUGAUAUAUUUUGAUGUAUUUCAACUUAAACAUACCAAAUAACAUAAUUUUGCAUGGUUUUUUUUUUAUAAUGACCCUUAUAAAGAGUCAGAAUAAAACAUGACAUUGUGCAAUUCCAAGAUACAAGAGUCGACAGAUUACGAUCCGCAAAAGUGCAAACAAAUAAAAGACACAAAUAACCGCCCAAAGAGUACUGGCAAUUAUACUGAAAGUUAGUUCAUAGAAACUUCCAAAUAAUAAAUAAAUCAAGUAAUCUCAGACUUAAGUAUUUGUCAGUAUACAGGCAUCCGACGGAUUUUGUAUAGAGACGUCACGCCAAGAGGCACGUGUCUAGUGCAUGGGCAACCAAACUGUAGCAAUUUUCUAAUUAAAAUGAACUACUUGACAAAUAAAAAUAUAACAAUCCUUUAUGAUUGAGUACUUGCUGCUUACCUUCUCAUUCUGACUGGGAUAAGAUUCAAGUGCCCAAAUAACAAAUACGGAACUACCCCUUGAUAAAAAAAAAUAUAUCUCGUUUCCUUUUAUUUGCUAUUCAAAAACAUGUGUGGCCGGAAUAAGGGGCCAGGGGGUGCCAACCUCUAAUUGUGCUACAUAUUUGAUAAAUGCGUAUACUUUUUACAAGCAUAAGUCCACAUGUUAAAUAACAAUUAGGGCGUCCACCGUUACAAAUUCCUGGAUCCACACCUGAAAAUGUACCAUUAUUGAAGCCCCUAGAAGAGUCAAAUAUACCUCCCAAUACUAUGUAUAACCACAUUUAGAGCAGUAAUCACAAAGUUGACAAAUAGUUUCUGCUUCUUGUUCAUUUAUUUAGAGAAUCAAGAUGUGUCAUAAUAGAUUCUAACUUAUUUUUCUACUUAAAGAAUCAGUUAUAUCUCAUGUUCGUCCUGUAGAUCAAACACGUUAGCCUUGCACUUGUUUCAUAUUAUAUUAGUGUUUUUCAGAAAAUAUUGUUUUCGUUUUGAUUUGGUUUUGUAAUUGAAGUGUUUAUAAUAUUGCUAUUAUUUUGUUGUGUGUGAUUCCUGUAGUAUUAUUUUCGUUUUUGUGUUACAUAUCUAUUGUUUAUAUAUGUAUUGCAUAUGUUCUUGUAAAUAAUAAUAUUGUUUGUAUGCUAAUAGUCAGUGGCGGAUCCAGAAAUUUUAACUUGAUAAGUGGGGCCCCACUGACUGACCUUAGAGGGGGCCCGCUCCAGUCACGCUUCAGUGAUUCCCUAUAUAUGCAACCAAUUUUUUUCCCAAAAAGGGGGGCCCGGGUCCCCUUGGCCCCCCCUAAAUUCGCCUCUGAUAGUAUGCCCUUGGCCCGAAUUUAGUGAAUACUGAGAAACAUUCCGCUAUCCUAUUCUAUUCUUGUCCGUUUCGCUCUUGAAACUGGUAUCCGCUUUUUCAGUAAUUUCCCCUUUCCUAUGUUUUAUUCAAAUAUCAAUAAAAACAUUAAAAACUUUAAAAAAAUAAAAAAAAAGCUGAAAACUGUACGAUCAGUUUAAAUUUUCAGUUUAGUAUUAUUUAAGUUUGCGUUCAUAUCUGAACUAUAAUCUAUUUUUAGACGAAGUUUAUAACUCUAAAACUAAAAAAAAAUGGAAUUUCGAUAUUUUAAAACUUUGAUAAAAAAUCCAAAAAUCUAAAAUUUGAAAACUUUAAAAUUUUUAUUAUUGAUAUUUAAAAUAAAGUGUUACACGGACCUUAGGUGAUUUUGGUGAAUAAAAUAUUCUGUUCUAUUCUAUAAUCUUGCGUGCAGAUAUUUUUUUAAGGAUUUUUAAAAAUAACAAACUAUAACUCUGUAAAGUUCUUUCUCGACAAUCAAGCGUUUUGUGUAGUCCUGCUAGUUAAAAAUUUAUCCUUGCUUCGGAAUACCUGUUUCUAAUUAUAGAAUUCAUUUUAUUACUCAGAUAGAAAGCAUGUGCUUAUGACGUCAAUUCACAGUGCGUCAAUCAUCCCCGUUUACUACCAGUCUAAUUAUAGUACAAAGAAAGAUCGGAAUCCCUUAAUUUUCGAGUUCGUUUAUGCAUGGUAGGUCAACUCAGUCAUCAAUUCAACAACACAAUGUGCAUUUUAAUUGUACUUGUUCAAAAUAUUACAAUUAACGGGCAUCUUCCCUUCUUAAGCAAAAGCUGAUGCAAUAAAGCACUGACCGUCACAUUUUAUGAAUCUAAAAAUAAAUAAUAGAUUAUUACGCUUUUGGAAAAUUUUGCUCUUUUGGAAUAUUUUUUUAAUUCUUGUUAUAUAUAAAAUGUUACUUGAACUAUUUGAAAUGAUUUUAAUUACAUUUUGAAUUUGUAGUUUGUGUGUUAAUUGAGAUAUUGAAAUAUAAUUUCAUGCAAAUCGGAGAACUAUAUUAUGCGAACGAACCGGACUGUGGAAAUUCUCGAACUUCCGGGAAUUAUCCAUGUCGAAAAAUAUAAGACAACAUGUUUACCGUUACACAGAUCAUUUUUAAAGCAACACACAAAGAAGAUAAUAAUUAAAUAGUUCAAAAUGUAUGGAAUAGUUGAAAACAGAAUUUGGAAUUUAUAUAAACAAUACAAUAGUGUGAAUUGUGUUUCUGAUAACCAAGAACAAUCUGGCUGGAUAUUUUGCGGAGUAAGUCGUAAUUCUGAUCCCAGCUCACAAGAAAUUGUAAGAACACUUAUUGACAGUUCUUUAAAGGAGUAUUACUUUGCUAACAAUCCUUUGUCAGACGGUUGGAACCAUUAUUCAACAAAGAUUGCAAGAGAAGCCGCUGGAUAAGUAGUUUCAUUUAAAAUUAUGCCAUAUGGGAAACGAUUUGACCCUAAUCACGUAACACGGGUACCUUUCAUGAGACUCGACAGUACGGGUGAAAUUUCGUCAGAAAGUUCGGACAUUGACACUAUGAUUGACCAUAGUUCCAGGAAGAGUGGUAAUAAUAAACAAUCAUUCAAUAGUAAAGGGGUUGACCUCAGGAACAUGUUUAAUAGAAAGUAUACCAACUUAGGUGGGUACAGAAAUAAUUUGACUGCCGAGGAUAGCCAUAAUUCAUGUAAAAUACUGAAGGAUAUUGUAAACAAAACAAUUAUAGACGAUUCUAAACCAAUAAUGACUGAAUCAAGAGGACAAUCUUAUUGUCCGCUCACAUCCCAGAGGCAGAGCAAUAUGUGGAACAACAAACCAAUGGCAAUGUUCCAUCCUGCGGUAGUGGCUUCAACGAUUGGCAUAACAGCGCCAUCGAAUACAACAUCGGAAAGAUCAUACAUUCCAAAAAUGACUUAUUGUAAUUUGAAUCAGUGCUAUAAAAAUAAAUUCAAGCAAAACUAUUUAGCAAAGAUUUCUUGCAAAUCUGCUGGUGCUACAGGUAGUGUAAAUCAGACAAAGCAUUCCAAUAAUCCUUCCAGAAAAAACUGUGAUACAGAUAGAAUUUUAAAUGAUGUAAAAACUAAUAAUAUAGAAUCUGUUUCAAAUGCUACUUCUAGUCCAGAUACAGAAAGAGUGCAAUCAAAUCCAAAGCGUUGUGAUGAAGAAAAAUGUGAACCGGAAAAUGGCAGCAAAAAAACACUUUCAGAGAAUCCUAAAGAAAGGGAAAAAAGCAGCCGAUUGGAACAACAAAAAAAGGAUAGUGAAGACAGUUGUGAAAUACCUGACAACAAUGGCGAAGUUGUAAACAGUUGGUUAGAUUUAUGUACAGAUGAUGAAUGUGAUGAACUGAAGACUCGGGUUGUACCUGAUUCCUCAAAUUAUGAAGUUGUGGAAGUAGAGGAAAGUGGCAAAAAUAUAACGUGUGAAAAGAAGUCUAAUAUUGACAAAAUUGGAGGCAAUGAAAUGAAUGACAAUUGCAAGAGCUUCAGUUUCAGGAAAUUAGAUGGAAAAUCUUCACAGUUUCAAAUUCAAAUUAAUGCAACCAACUCUCAACAAUCUCCUAGUAGCAUGAGUAGUGAAACAGAUAAAAACAGUGAAGAACAUACAUUAGAAGAUAAAUCUUUUAUACUUUUUAUAAGGAAAGAAAAUAAAAAAUGUAGACCCUCAGCUAAAAGGCGACGAAGAUCCAAAGCUAAAAAGGAAGAUGCUACAGAGGAGACAAGUCAAUCAGACGAUUCUUUCCAAAAGUGCCAAAAUCCAGCAGUUGCUUUCAUGUUAGGUUUUAGUCCAGACAGUAACACUAGUGAAUCACAAAAUCAACCUUCACAUUCUUUUUUUAUGACUUUUGAAGAUGAUGAAGACUUCAGCGAUUGGUCAGAUGAUGAAGAUGAUGAUGAUGAUGAUCAAAUUGAUGGAAACUGUUUAGGUUCAGAUUUUCUUGACUCUGCAUUUAGCAUGCCUUUAAAUUUGAAUGUUAUUUGCUCUGUGAAACAACCAGAAACAGAUGAACAUUCCAAAAAUUUAAAAGACAUAAACCAUGCGUGGGAAGUUCAAAUUAGAAGACAUCCUUCAACAGCCAAGAUUGAGGAUCCAAAAAAAUCUAAGAAAAAAACCAAAAAGGUAUAUAUAUUUCUAGAUACAUGUACAAUCAUGUAUGUUAGAUAUUGUUGGAAUGACAAUUUACAUGUACAUAAUUAGAAGUGAAUAUUAUGAAUACUAAUAGUUACAAAAAAAACUAACAACACUAAGGUUACAUCAAUGCAAGUAAAAAACAGUCACCACUAAAACAAAACUGGUUGGUAAAGAAACACCCCCCAAUUUUAUUUUUUUUUAAUAUUUCACACAAUUUAUCCAAGGUCUUUAGGACUGUAUGUCCCUUAACAUACCCUAUAUUUAUAAAAAGAUGUAAUGCAAAUGUAUGAAUGCCAAUGAGAUAAGUUUUCACAAGAGACCAAAUGACAUAGAAAUUAACAACUAUAGGUAACCUUCAACAAUGAGCAAAGCCUAUACUGCAUAGUCGGCUAUAGCAUGUAAAGUACUAAAUAUAGUUGCAUACUGUUCAUACAUCUUAAAUCUUUUGUCUUUGGUGAAAAGUUUUCUGAUAGUCUCUCUGUAUCAUGUGACAUCUCCUUAUGUUUAUGAUAGCAAUUAAAAGACUGAUAAGUUGGUGUUAACCUAAAUUUACAAAUUAAUUUUGCUUCAAUUUUAUGUAUUUAUAUAAUUAUUAAUAUAUAUACAUGUACAAUGUAUAAUGUAUAUUUAUGAUGUUUAUAUAUAUUUCAGGUACACUUUCCAGAGGAUGCAAAGAUUGCCAAAGUACACAACAUGAUUACAUGGGCACAUGCAUAUCAGGCAGCAAGAAAAGGCCAGUGGCGGGAAAAUGCACUUGAUCAUGAACGUUUUCAAAGACGCAUAGAUGACACAGAAAAAAUUCUUACUCCAGUAUUAUUAACAGAACAUAGAAAUAAAAUGUACAAAUUACUAUCAGAAUCUUAGAUGUAAACAAAAAACAAAUUUGUAACAGAUAUGUUAAAAUAGGAGGUUAAAAUGCAAAAUAUGAAAAAUGGUAAAAAUACAGGUAGCCUGAAAAUAUGGAUUCAAUUUUUGUUACUAAUUAUUUCACAGUCCCAAUUAUCCAUUCUAAAAUUUGAACUUUAAAUGGUUUUUAAAUGUUUAUAGGCAAUUAGUUUCAAAUUAUAGUUGUGAUCUUUUUUUCAAGAUAUUAUAUUUGUAAAUGACUUGAUAUUAUAAUAUUUUUUAUGAUUUAUACAACAUUUAGACUUGGCAAUUGAAAGUGAUAUACCUCAAGAUUACAGAAAUAAUUUCAAUUAUAGUUUUCAAUAUAACUGUUCUGCUGUUAUCUUCUGUCUUGACUGUCAUGUGUUUUUUUUACAAUUUUAGACUGGAAUGAAUAAAAGAGGUGAAAUUUAAAAUUAAUGCAGAGUAUUAUCCCCUUAAAAAAAUGAUUUCUCUCCCUUGUGCUGGGUAUUCAUACAGAAAAAAAUAAUAAAUUGUUUUGAAUUUGGUGAUGGUUACUUCAUCAUGCUCAUUACUUUUAAUUGCAGAAUUAAAUUUACUAUUAAUGUUUCCAAACAUUUACUUUAAACUUAGAAUGGAGAAAAAUGCUAGACAGAUUUUUAAAAAUAUUUAAUGGAGAAAAGUCCAAAAUAUUAUUUCAGUCUUCCAAGAUAGGAUUGUAAAAAUAUAUAUUUGAUAAUUUCUUUUUCUGCAUGCAAGUUAGAUAUAUAACAGGGUUUGUUCAAAGUUACACUAUGUAUAUCAUUUAUAUGUAAAUAAGUGGCGGCAAAAAUCUGUGAUAGUAAAGGCUGUGCUUAAAUAGCAGUUGAAAUUUGUUUUCUUUAAGGAAGACAUUUGUAAAAGUUUCUUCACUGUUGAGCAAUUUGGAAGUAUAUAACCAAUUUUCUCAAAUGAUUAGAUACAUUAGAUAUACAUGCCUUAGUCCUGUAAUGGUUUGAAAAGUGGUUCAGACUCCAGUCUCCAGAGUUUGAUAUGCAAUCAUGACAAUGUUGUUAGGCUAUUUUAUAUUUUUACUUUCCAUCAUUAUUGCUUCAUUGUUUAUAUAUGCAAUUAUGCCAUAUUCAUGAUAUUUACCCAAUUUUACAUUGUAAUGUUUGGGAUAAAUCUUCACUGCUCAUCUGGGUUUUUACAUGGAAGUUUUGUCAUCAGUGAAAAACAAAUACACUUACAAUUAAAAUUGAAAUAGGAUAAGAUUUGUAUUGUAUUUGUUAAAUUUGACAAUCUUUAAAAAUGUAAAUUCUUUAGUGGAUUAACCUUAAGAAGUUAAUUAAAAAAAUACAUUUAGAUACAUGUAUGCAUGUAUACACAUCUGAAUAAAAUAAAAAUCUACCCAAAUUCUUAAAAUUAUGUAAGGUCAAAAUAUGUUUUGAGCCCAUCAGCUGUGGCAAACUGCUAAUUGUAAUGUUCGUCCAAUGAUAUUCAUCUGACAUCAUGCUUAUGGGAAAAUGGCUUAGAACUUGUCAGUUUUUUAUAUAUCCUGUAAUUUCUAGUAUAUAUUUUGUUUUAUUUGUGCAAUUGUCUUUUUCAUGUUAAUUUUAGUCGAAACAAAUUUUUGUUCACUCUUACAAUGUUAUCAUUUAUGAAUGAAUAGUGGUUGAUAUUUUAUUGAAAUCCUGUUGAGUGUUGUAGUAAUGAUUUUUUCUGUCAGAAGAUGUAAUUGACUUUAGGAGCUAUCUUGAACUUGUGUUAUGCGAGCUGUGUUCUUUCAAAGGCUUCACUGUUGAAUUUAUAAUGUAUGAAAAUUAUUAUAAAUUUAAAAAUGACAAUUUUGAUCAAAAGAAAAUAUAUUAAUCUUUCAUGAAUUUUUUAUUUGAUACUAAAUUAUGUACAUUCUAGGUGAAACAUGCUCAAUUCAAACACUGAAAAUAUUAUAAUCUGUGCAAAUUGUUGAUUAUUUUUAAACUAUGAAUGAUUAAAUAUAUAUAAAGAUUAUAGUUUGUUGUUUUAUCUUUUAGCAUAUAUAAAAACAAGAGUGCACACGCUGAAAUGUCUCGCCUUCUAUACUAAUCAUUGAUAUUAUGUUGAUAGUCCUAAGUAUAAAGUUAAGCUUUAUAACAACUGUCACAUAAACUUAACAUUAACCAAGAUAACUAAACAAAGACCAAUGAACCUUGAAAAUGAGGUCAAGGUCAGAUGAACCAUGCCAGGCAGACAUGUACAGCUAGCAAUGCUUCUAUACAACAUAUAUAGUUGACCUAUUACUUAUAGUUUAAGAAAAAUAGACCAAAACACAAAAACUUAACACAGUGCAAUGAACCGUGAAUAUGAGGUCACGGUCAAAUAAAACCUGCGCGACUGACAUAAAGAUCAUAAAAUAUUUCCAUACACCAAAUAUAGUUGACCUAUAGCAUAUAGUAUUAGAUAAAAAGACCAAAACUCAAAAACUUAACAUUGACCACUGAACCAUGAAAAUGAGGUCAAGGUCACAUGACAUCUGCCCGCUAGACAUGUACACCUUACAAUCAUUCCAUAUAACAAAUAUAGUAGACCUAUUGCAUAUAGUAUGAGAAAAACAGACCAAAA